ACAGAUGAAGCAUUACUAUGCUGAGAAGACAGUGCCAUGUGAAAGCCUGCCAGACAACCCAGACGGAGUGCCAUGAAGAGCUGUCUAAUUACAAGACCUGAUGGCUGUGUAUUUGGAAGUUCACAGACUUGAAGAUCAGAAUGAAACAGAAAUUGAUUCUAGUCCUAGAAGAGGAAAGGAGGAAUACCCUAACAAGGUAUGCUUGGCUUACCUUCUCAGCUCCCAUGGUCUCUCUACCUCCCUAGAAAACCAACUGCUGGGAGCUAUAUGCAUAACAUACAGGAAGGAUCCUUCACUGCCACUAUACAAACCAGUAUACCAGUAUUUUAAGGAAGACUUGUACAUUCACUUUCAUGCUUUCACCAUGCUGCUGAUUUUGCAUAGCAAAAUAUCCAUGUUAUACCCCUAAACCUUCCCUAAGGAAAUCUUUUAGGUUUUCCUAACCUAAACCUAGAGCAAUUUUCUCUGCUUUUUCAAGCAUCAAGUCUCUGUCUCGGCUUUGUCAGAGUCCAAGCAUAGCUCUGACUUUGUCAGAGUCCAAAUAGCAUAACUGUUUUGCUAGAGAUGCUUGUUCAUACGAACCAGUUCUAACUUCUUCCUGCUCAUCUUUUCUCUAUAAGGCAUUUCAGAGGCAAAAAAGUUCGUUGUUUUUAUGUCUGUACAGUGCAAGCUACAGUGAGG
RNAcentral lists this long non-coding RNA (681 nucleotides) under Cyanistes caeruleus (blue tit). RNAcentral's name for it is "lncRNA (ENSCCEG00000002313.1)". The record is from RNAcentral. Lineage: Eukaryota; Metazoa; Chordata; Aves; Passeriformes; Paridae.